UUUCGCAAUGCCCGAAAGGGUGACGGUGCGACGCCGCGUGGGUGACGAAGGCCUUCGGGUUGUAAAGCCCUGUCGAGGUGGGAAGAACCCCCCACUGGUGAAUAGCCUCUGGGGCUGACGGUACCACCACAGGAAGCUCCGGCCAACUCCGUGCCAGCAGCCGCGGUAACACGGGGGGAGCAACCGUUGUUCGGAAUCAUUGGGCGUAAAGGGCAAGUAGGCGGUUCGUUAAGUCGGGUGUGAAAUCCCUCCGCUCAACGGAGGAACUGCAUUCGAGACUGGCGGGCUUGAGGGGUGGAGAAGCGAGCGGAAUUCUCGGUGUAGCGGUGGAAUGCGUAGAUAUCGAGAAGAACUCCAAUGGCGAAGGCAGCUCGCUAGACACCCCCUGACGCUGAACUGCGAAAGCCAGGGGAGCAAACGGGAUUAGAUACCCCGGUAGUCCUGGCCGUAAACGAUGGGCACUAAGUAGAGGGGUUUUAAUCUC
Molecule: ribosomal RNA, 484 nt
Filed under: uncultured bacterium
Lineage: Bacteria
Description: bacterial SSU rRNA
Rfam family: Bacterial small subunit ribosomal RNA
Source: RNAcentral